Molecule: ribosomal RNA, 743 nt
Filed under: Achromobacter sp. 110518_136_C_E11
Lineage: Bacteria; Pseudomonadati; Pseudomonadota; Betaproteobacteria; Burkholderiales; Alcaligenaceae
Description: bacterial SSU rRNA
Rfam family: Bacterial small subunit ribosomal RNA
Source: RNAcentral
UAGGGUUUGAUUAUGGCUCAGAUUGAACGCUAGCGGGAUGCCUUACACAUGCAAGUCGAACGGCAGCACGGACUUCGGUCUGGUGGCGAGUGGCGAACGGGUGAGUAAUGUAUCGGAACGUGCCUAGUAGCGGGGGAUAACUACGCGAAAGCGUAGCUAAUACCGCAUACGCCCUACGGGGGAAAGCAGGGGAUCGCAAGACCUUGCACUAUUAGAGCGGCCGAUAUCGGAUUAGCUAGUUGGUGGGGUAACGGCUCACCAAGGCGACGAUCCGUAGCUGGUUUGAGAGGACGACCAGCCACACUGGGACUGAGACACGGCCCAGACUCCUACGGGAGGCAGCAGUGGGGAAUUUUGGACAAUGGGGGAAACCCUGAUCCAGCCAUCCCGCGUGUGCGAUGAAGGCCUUCGGGUUGUAAAGCACUUUUGGCAGGAAAGAAACGUCAUGGGUUAAUACCCCGUGAAACUGACGGUACCUGCAGAAUAAGCACCGGCUAACUACGUGCCAGCAGCCGCGGUAAUACGUAGGGUGCAAGCGUUAAUCGGAAUUACUGGGCGUAAAGCGUGCGCAGGCGGUUCGGAAAGAAAGAUGUGAAAUCCCAGAGCUUAACUUUGGAACUGCAUUUUUAACUACCGAGCUAGAGUGUGUCAGAGGGAGGUGGAAUUCCGCGUGUAGCAGUGAAAUGCGUAGAUAUGCGGAGGAACACCGAUGGCGAAGGCAGCCUCCUGGGAUAACACUGACG